Molecule: long non-coding RNA, 1926 nt
Filed under: Zostera marina
Lineage: Eukaryota; Viridiplantae; Streptophyta; Magnoliopsida; Alismatales; Zosteraceae
Description: long non-coding RNA (ZMAR_LNC005980)
Source: RNAcentral
UUUUUUGUGUAGUCUAUACGACAUAUCUAUUCCGGUUUUGAUUGAAUAUAAAUCAUUGAUUUUUCUAUUUUUGAUCUAUUUUUGAAUAUAAAUCUCGAUUUUGAUCUUCUGUUUAUCAUGCAAAGGAUCUGUUUAUAAUGCUCUGCCACUAUUAAAUUCUGUCCAGCGAGGUCUUCAUCUUCCGGCGAGCGAUUCCAAAUUCUGUCCAGCGCGAGGUCUUCAUCUUCCGGCGAGCGAUUCCAAAUCCCUAUCCAGGGCGAGGUCUUGAACUUCCGGCGAGCGCGAGGUAGGUUUUUAUUGUUCUUAAAUUUUAUUUUUUAAAACUAAUCUCUACUCUAAAAAUCAAUUUUGUUAUCUAUCUAUGAUAUCAAUUACCCCCUUAAAACCAUCCUUAUUCUCAACUUCAACCAUCUUAAAAUUAAAAGUUUACCACCGUUCUGCACUCGUCUUUUUUUUAAAUUAUUUAUUUGAUAAAAUAUCAAUUGAUAUCUAUUUAUUCUACAUGUGCUUAAUUUCCAGAUUGAUAUCUAUCUACUCUGAAAUAUUUCCAGAUGCGUUUAUUUGAACAAUCUGCAAAACAAGUAGAAAUAAAAAUUAAACUGUGAUUAAUCUGCAAAACAAGUAGAAAUUAAAUUAAAUUUCCAGAUACUCUUAAGUGUUUGAACUGUGAUCGGUGAAUAAUAUAUGGCCAACAUGGAAUUACCCAAUUCCAAAGCAUCUGAAUAUUUAAAUGUAAAAGCUGCCAACAUGGAAUUACCCAUAUCCGAAGCACCUGAAUAUUUCAAUUUAGAAACUGCCAACCAGGAAAUACUUAAUACCAAUCCAUCUGAUAUUGUUCAUGAGCUAUAUAUGUAUGGCAUAAAAGCAUCCAGUUGUUCAGUUUAGGAAAUCAUGUAUUUGAAUCUGUUUUUUGUAUACUACCUUUUUAUGAGUUCUUAUGAGCACAUGUAUUUUUUCUUUUUUUCUCAACUAUGUGAUCUCAGUAAGAACUAAUUGAAAUUUAAAUUUCAUGAACUUCUCGUUGUAUGUUGUAUAUAUAUGUUUAUUUGCAGGUUUAAUUUUAUGUUAUAUAUGUUUCAAUUAUCAUUAAAAGCAAAUAGGUUAUGAAAAAAUUUAAAAAAAUUGAAAUAAUUAAUUCGAUUAUUGGCUAAUUAAUUCAAACUGUAAUUUGAUAUAGUUUAUUCCAAACUCACAGGUGUUGGUGCUAAAGAAGCUGAUACAAACUAAACUCGAUCUUCAAUAUUUCACCAAAAAUUCGAAGUACGUAAUUUCAGAUUUCUUAUUUCAAUUAUCAUUUUAGUUUAUUAAUCUGUUUUUUUUAAAUGCAUCACUUAAUUAUUGUUUUGUUAAUAUUUUGAAUGUAUAAUUUAAAUAAAUUGUUUGAUAUAGCAUAAUGAGAAGGAGAGAAAAACAGAUACUGCGUAGACCUCCAUUUCCGGUACGUGUUCCGGAAGUGCGCCUACAAGUUCCUGUUGUACCUGCAACAAUACUUGUACCUGUUGUACCUCCAUUUUAGUCAGAUCCAGUGUAUGUUCCGCGGGCGGUAGGUCUAUCGAGCUCUCAUCAUCCGUCAAUCGUAAUAAGAGUGAAGCAACCAUCUAGGAGGCCCCCGAUGAUGGAUCAUCCACUAAGGUUCUUUGGUCUCCGACGAGACAAAAAAACACCGACUACGGGAGGUGUGAAAUACCCACCCGAUUUGCAAUAUUCCUGUGGGUCGAAUUGUUCAGACGUGAAUGCCACCAUGCAAGGUCUUUCCUUUGACUACGAAACCGAAUCUUCCCCGGUUUCUGAAGUUUUGGUUACGUCCAACUAUCCGAGCACUAUAGUAAUUUCUAACGACGAUGAAGUCGGCGAAAGUAGCGAUGGGAUGAAUGUCAAUGAUAACUAUAGUUAGUUGAACAAUAAUUUAGUAAACUUAUGUGAAAU